AAGUCGUAACAAGGUUUCCGUAGGUGAACCUGCGGAAGGAUCAUUAACAAAUCUAGUGGGCUUGGUCUUUGAUCGGCUCAUUUUUGCGCGUGUGUUGUGUGACUGGUUACCAGAAGUGGGAUUUAUAACAGAGACAACUUUUAACAAUGGAUCUCUUGGCUCUU
RNAcentral lists this unclassified non-coding RNA (164 nucleotides) under fungal sp. Its description in RNAcentral is "partial internal transcribed spacer region". The stretch from base 1 to 46 matches the Rfam family "Eukaryotic small subunit ribosomal RNA", at positions 1786 to 1831 of the family's 1831-position model. The record is from RNAcentral. Lineage: Eukaryota; Fungi.